CCUACGGGCGGCAGCAGUGAGGAAUAUUGGUCAAUGGACGAGAGUCUGAACCAGCCAAGUAGCGUGAAGGAUGACUGCCCUAUUGGUUGUAAACUUCUUUUAUAUGGGAAUAAAAUGUUCCACGUGUGGGAUUCUGUAUGUACCAUAUGAAUAAGGUUCGGCUAACUCCGUGCCAGCAGCCGCGGUAAUACGGAGGCUCCGAGCGUUAUCCGGAUUUAUUGGGUUUAAAGGGAGCGUAGGUGGAUUGUUAAGUCAGUUGUGAAAGGUUGCGGCUCAACCGUAAGAUUGCAGUUGAAACUGGCAGUCUUGAGUACAGUAGAGGUAGGCGGAAUUCGUGGUGUAGCAGUGAAAUGCUUAGAUAUCGCGAAGAACUCUGAUUGCGAAGGCAGCUCACUGGACUGCAACUGACACUGAGGCUCGAAGGUGUGGGUAUCAAACAGGAUUAGAUACCACAGUAGUC
Molecule: ribosomal RNA, 460 nt
Filed under: uncultured bacterium
Lineage: Bacteria
Description: partial 16S ribosomal RNA
Rfam family: Bacterial small subunit ribosomal RNA
Source: RNAcentral